UACAGAGGUCCCAAGCGUUGUUCGGAUUUACUGGGCGUAAAGGGUGCGUAGGUGGCGGUGUAAGUCGGAUGUGAAAUCUCCGAGCUCAACUCGGAAACUGCAUUGGAAACUACAUUGCUCGAGGGUUGGAGGGGGGACUGGAAUACUUGGUGUAGCAGUGAAAUGCGUAGAUAUCAAGUGGAACACCAGUGGCGAAGGCGAGUCCCUGGACAACUCCUGACACUGAGGCACGAAAGCUAGGGGAGCAAACAGG
Molecule: ribosomal RNA, 253 nt
Filed under: uncultured prokaryote
Description: partial 16S ribosomal RNA
Rfam family: Bacterial small subunit ribosomal RNA
Source: RNAcentral